GAUGAACGCUGGCGGCGUGCCUAACACAUGCAAGUCGAGCGGCAGCGAGGGGUGCUUGCACCCUGUCGGCGAGCGGCGGACGGCUGAGUAACGCGUGGGAACGUGCCCCAAAGUGAGGAAUAACUGCCCGAAAGGGUAGCUAAUACCGCAUAUUAUCUUCGGAUCAAAGGAUUUAUCCGCUUUGGGAGCGGCUCGCGUCGGAUUAGGUAGUUGGUGAGGUAAUGGCUCACCAAGCCGACGAUCCGUAGCUGGUCUGAGAGGAUGACCAGCCAGACUGGAACUGAGACACGGUCCAGACUCCUACGGGAGGCAGCAGUGAGGAAUCUUCCACAAUGGGCGAAAGCCUAAUGGAGCAACGCCGCGUGCAGGACGAAGGCCUUCGGGUUGUAAACUGCUUUUAUAAGUGAGGAAUAUGACGGUAACUUAUGAAUAAGGAUCGGCUAACUACGUG
This 451-nucleotide ribosomal RNA is filed under the name uncultured bacterium. RNAcentral's name for it is "partial 16S ribosomal RNA". It matches the Rfam family "Bacterial small subunit ribosomal RNA", at positions 28 to 507 of the family's 1533-position model. The record is from RNAcentral.